CAUGCAAGUCGAGCGAAGUGAGUCUAGAUGAAGUUUUCGGAUGGAAUUUAAACUUAUCUUAGCGGCGGACGGGUGAGUAACGCGUGAGAAACCUGCCUUUCACAAGGGGAUAGCCUCGGGAAACUGGGAUUAAUACCUUAUGACACUUAAGAUUCGCAUGAAUCUUAAGUUAAAGCGUAAAGCGGUGAAAGAUGGUCUCGCGUCCCAUUAUCUAGUUGGUGAGGUAACGGCUCACCAGGGCUACGAUGGGUACCCGGCCUGAGAGGGUGAACGGCCACUCUGGAACUGACACACGGUCCACACUCCUACGGGAGGCAGCAGUGGGGAAUAUUGCACAAUGGAAGAAACUCUGAUGCAGCGACCCCGCGUGAACGAUGAAGGUCUUCAGAUCGUAAAGUUCUGUCCUAGGGGACGAUAAUGACGGUACCCUAAGAGGAAGCCCCGGCUAACUACGUGCCAGCAGCCGCGGUAAUACGUAGGGGGCGAGCGUUGUCCGGAAUUAUUGGGCGUAAAGGGUUCGCAGGCGGUCCAUUAAGUCAGGUGUGAAAGGUCACGGCUCAACCGUGGUAAGCACUUGAAACUGGAAGACUUGAGUUAAAGAGAGGAAAGUGGAAUUCCUAGUGUAGCGGUGAAAUGCGUAUAUAUUAAGAGGAAUACCAGUGGCGAACGCGACUUUCUGGACUUAUACUGACGCUGAAGAACGAAAGCGUGGAGAGCAAACAAGAUUAUAUACCCUGAUACUCCACGCCGUAAACGAUGAGUGCUAUGUGUUGGGGGUCAAACCUCGGUGCCGCAUCUAACGCAUUAAGCACUCCGCCUGGAGAGUACGUACGCAAGUAUGACACUCAAAGGAAUUGACGGACACCCGCACAAGCAGCAGAGCAUGUGUUUUAAUUCAAAGCACGCGAAGACCUUACCAGGUCUUGACAUGCCUCUGACCGGUGUAGA
This 948-nucleotide ribosomal RNA is filed under the name Paratissierella segnis. RNAcentral's name for it is "bacterial SSU rRNA". It matches the Rfam family "Bacterial small subunit ribosomal RNA", at positions 54 to 1004 of the family's 1533-position model. Lineage: Bacteria; Bacillati; Bacillota; Tissierellia; Tissierellales; Tissierellaceae. The record is from RNAcentral.